CCCUUAGAUGUUCUGGGCUGCACGCGCGCUACACUGAAGCGUUCAACGAGUAUUCACCUUGCCCGGGAGGGUUGGGUAAUCUUUUGAAAACGCUUCGUGAUGGGGAUAGAUUAUUGCAAUUAUUAAUCUUCAACGAGGAAUUCCUAGUAAGCGCGAGUCAUCAGCUCGUGCUGAUUACGUCCCUGCCCUUUGUACACACCGCCCGUCGCUACUACCGAUUGAAUGAUUUAGUGAGGACUUCGGACUGGGACCGAUGCGGCUUUCGGGCUGCGUCGGUAUUCUGGAAAGAUGUCCAAACUGUAUCAUUUAGAGGAAGUAAAAGUCGUAACA
RNAcentral lists this ribosomal RNA (330 nucleotides) under uncultured eukaryote. RNAcentral's name for it is "partial 18S ribosomal RNA". It matches the Rfam family "Eukaryotic small subunit ribosomal RNA", at positions 1470 to 1796 of the family's 1831-position model. The record is from RNAcentral.